This 88-nucleotide transfer RNA is filed under the name Synergistaceae bacterium. RNAcentral describes it as "tRNA-Leu". It matches the Rfam family "tRNA". From Rfam's summary of the family: Transfer RNA (tRNA) molecules are approximately 80 nucleotides in length. The record is from RNAcentral. Lineage: Bacteria; Thermotogati; Synergistota; Synergistia; Synergistales; Synergistaceae.
GCCCGGAUGGCGGAAUUGGUAGACGCGCUAGAUUCAGGUUCUAGUAACUAUUAUGGUUGUGGAGGUUCGAGUCCUCUUUCGGGCACCA